AUAAUGUUCAUAGUUUUAUAUGAUGAUGUAAAUUGUAGUUAGUAUGUCAUUUUCAUUAUUUGGUCGCGUUAAAAAUUUCAUAGAAAUUGGUUAUUAAAGUUUGUGAUGUGAUUUAAUUAGAGUUACUGAUAAAAAAAUUAUUAUAAUUAAUUAUAUUAUUGAAUUUAAAAUAGGAUUUCCUUGUUUGAUGAAAGUGCAUGUAAAAUAAUAAUGUAAAUUAAGGUUAUUUGAUAGCAAAAUGAUAGAUAACAUUUCAUAGCAUUAAACAUUUAUUAAUUAUUGAUAUAUUUUUUUAUAUUGCUUGUUUGUGAUAACAUGCGUGAAAUUAUACUGCCUGCAUCAUUUGUCACUUAAGUAUGUGUUUGUUACUGACCAAAACUGAUUGAUCUAAGCAGUGUAUGAUAAUUUAAUUUUGAUAUGAAGAUACAUAGAAAUAAAUCCAAAAAUUAUCUUUUAAAUUUUUUAUAAGAUAAAAAUACAAAAAAUGAAUAAUUUUCAAGAUGAAAUCAAUAUGCAAGAAAUAUUAUUACUUGGAAAACUUCUGCACCAAAAUGGAGACAAAGUUUUAAAUUCAGUGGGAAAGCUAUCUUUAUCAACAACCUUAUUAUAUAAUUUAAAUUCAGCUUUCUCUUUAAUUGUGGAUGGAUCUGAAGAUUUAGAAGCUUCAUUUCAAGUAUGCAAUAGUUCAAAAAUUGACAUAUUUCGCGACUUGAAAUUUUUACAUGACUUUAUACAGAAGACAAUUGGCCUAAAAUUGAUUUAUUGUCCAAACAAUCCUAAUAUCCCUGUUGAUAUUACUAAAUUUAGGUGUUUGAAACAUCUAGAAUUAAAGAAAAUCAAUAUUAAUUCUGUGAAAGGACUCCAAGAUGUUAGAAGUCAACUUGAAAGUAUUAUCUGUGCUGGUAGAAAAGGAGUUUGUACUUUGAAACAAUUGUUGGCAAAUUGUGGAGGAGAUGCUAGUAUUGGAUUUAUAUGGAGUUCUUUGAAACAUUUAGCAUUACCACAUAAUUCUCUUGAACAAUUGGAUAUAUCUUUAGAAUUAGUACCUUGGUUACAAAUAAUAGAUCUAAGUCAUAAUUUGAUAACAUCUGCAGAUCAAUUAUCUUGUUUACCAAAUUUGAAAUAUGUAAAUCUUGGAUAUAAUAAACUUGAAACAGUACCUACUUUUAAUGAAACUGCAUCACACUUAUUACAAGUAUUAGUUCUAAAGAAUAAUUAUAUAGAAAAUCUAAAUGGUUUACAAAAUUUGGAAUGUUUAACAGAAUUAGAUUUAUCAUAUAAUUGUGUGAUGGAACAUUUAAGCUUGUGGCCUUUAGAAAAAAUGUCUGCUUUGCUAUGGAUAUCCUUGGAAGGCAAUCCCUUAUCGUAUCAUCCGAAAUAUCGAUUACUAGCUAUAAAACAUUUACAUCCAUGUUUGAGUAAUAGCAAGUUUGUUUUAGAUCAUGUGCCACUAUCAAAAUCAGAAAAGGAAAUUAUUGCAGAAAAUCGAUUGUUUGCUAUUAAAUCUAAACAAUUCCUAACAAAUAAAUUUCACACUUCAAUGUCAGAUUCUUUAAAUUCUAGUAGUUUAUUUGCAUCUACAAGUGAAUUAGCAGGAUCAAGUAAUAUGGACAAAAGUUUUUCUAAAAGUAAAAAGAAAUCUAAUAUAAAAGAAGCCAUUAUUGCAGAUGUUGAACAAGAAAAGAAAGAACUAAAAACAGAAACAACAUCAAAAGGACAUCUAGAAACAAAAAAACAAAUUUUAGAGAUACGAAAAAAAUAUGGAGAAGAUAAAUGGUUAAGUAGCCAUGCUGGGACAUUUGUUCAAGAUAUUAUGGGAUUACAGCCUUCAUGUCCAAUGUUAAUACCAGAAUUUGCAAUAGAAAAUUUAGAUUCUAAAAAUAUUGUAGCAAGUGCUGAAAAUUCAGCUAUUCUUUUAAUGAAAAAUACAAAAAUUGAAACAAAUGAAGAAUCUUUAAUGAAAGAGACUAAUGAAAGCAAUAAUGAAAAAGAAAAUGAAAGUGAAGUAUUAAACAAAGAAGAGAAUAUUUCUGAAAUUAUAUUAACCAACAAUGCAAGUGCUCUUGUAAAUAUAUCUGAUCCUUUAUAUGAUCCAGAACGAGAAGGAGGGAAAUUAUAUAUAGUUCAAAAGAAAAAAAAUGCAGACGAAUUAGAAAAUUUAUUUUUAAUGAUAACAUCAAAUGAUAUUAAAGAGAUAGAUUCACUUACUGGAAAAUUGAAAUACUGUUGGUCAAUGAGUUCUGUAUUAUCAUGUGUAUUGGGUAGAAGUGAACCAGUCACAGUGGAUAUAAUUUUUGAUACAACACGAGAACAUCGUCAAAAUAGAAGAUAUUUUGUAAAAUUAGAUGUUGCAAAAGAAAUAGUAAAAAUAAUUAACGAAGAAAUCAAAAAAAGACCAAUGUUAUUGAAAAUUUUUAAAUGUAUGAAAUGUUCAACUCAUUUUUCUCAAGAUUUAGAAUAUGUUACUCUUAUAAAUUCUACUACAUCAGGUAUGAAAUGUCCCACUUGUAAAAGUACUUUAGUUAUAGAAACAGACGAAUUAUCAGUUUUGAACAUGGAAAAUGAUAUUUCUGAAGAUUCAUUAGAAUGCACAAAUAAAAAUCAGUAUUCAGAAAAUCCAAUAAAGGCCAAUUUACAACAUUCUGAGUCUUACUCUAGUAUUGGUGGAAUGGAGAGUGGAGCUAUAUCCGUCACCACUUCUCUGGUGCACUCCGAUUCUCACACUCAAGCUCAAGUCUGUUGUUCAGCUACAAGUUUAGAGGAAUCAAGAGAAUCUACACCAUCUGCAAAUACAUCAAAUAAAAAAUAUGAAAGUGAUAUAGAGGUAUUAAGCAAUCCAAGUCAAAGUAGUAUUGAAGUUUUGGACGAUGCAUCAAGAACUCAUCUUACACCUCAUAGAAAGCGUUCUUCAGAAGAAAGACGUACUGCUAUUGUUCCAUCUCUUUUAACAAUACCUGAUGUAGCUCCAAUUAUAACUGGUUUAACUGAGAGUAGUUCUUCAGGUUCUUUAACAGAUAGUAUAUGUACUGCAUAUGAAAAUAAAAUAAUGAAGCAAGUUAAUGUAGAUGAAAAAUCUCUUAAUAGUAAUGAUAAAGAAAUAAAAUUUACACCUGUAACAAAUUUAACUUCUAUGCUAGGUGGACUACUUCAAAGUAUAAAAAUUGGUAAUAAUAAACCAUUAAUGUUAAAAGAAGAAACAUCACAUCUAAUAAGCAGUAAUAUUCAGUAUUCUUAUACGGAUUUCAACAGCAUAGAUCAUAGAAUAAAAUUGCAUAUCAUUUUAAAUAUAUUUGAACAUGAAAAUGAAGAACUCAUUCUUCUUCUCAGGGCAGAAAUUUUAAUGCAAAAUACAAAAGAAACAUUUCCUGGUUGUUUGGUUUUAUCUACAUUCAAAGUAUAUGUGCUUAAAAUUGUUGGAGUAGAAGGAGAAAAUCCACAACGUUGGUUGCAUAAAGAAAUUAGUUGGACGAUAGAUAGAUUAAAACGUUUUUCACCAAUACCAUUCAAACAAGGUAUUUUAAUUGAAUUAGAACAACCUAACAAAAUUAAUGACGAACCGAAUUCUACUAUUACAUUCUUAUGCGUUCUACAAGAUCUACAAAGGACACUCAAUUUUCUAGUUUAUGUUACUGAUUUUUUAUUACCAUCUAUUUGUGAAGAAGUUGAACUCACAGUCUCAGAAUAUUGUACCUCUUCAAUGUAUCAAUUACUAAAAGAUUGUAAAAAUUACCAAGAUGGAGAUACUGUUAGACACCUCGCAUUAUUUUCUUCUGCCAUAUUAAAAUAUCAAAAUCUCGAAGUUCAACUUAAAUUAUCUAGUUUAAUAGUGACGACAUCUGUCUUAGCAUUAUGUAACAUGCAAUGGCUUCUUCCAGGCAAUAAAGAAUCACCACAUAUAAUAAAAGAACAAGCAAUGAGCAAUUUGAUUGGAGUUGAACAUUAUAACUCCUCACUGACAUUGAAUUUCUUAGAUGAAGUCAUAGGACAGGAGGAAACGUGGAUUCUAGAUUUUGUUUCUAUGAGUGCUGCAGAAAUAGUUGUCACUUCUAUACGAUCUCCAUGGGAGGAACUUUUUUCAAUUCCUUUACAAAAUACAAUUUGCAAAUCACAAGAUUAUGAAAAUGAAUAGAACAUUAAAUAUAGAUAACUAGAAAAGUAUUCUAGUCCAAGAAAAUAUAUCAGUGUUGUAGAACUAUAGCUAUAAUUGAGAUACGUGGAAAUUUGUAUACUCAAGAUAUUCUGUGUUGAUGAUGAUAAUAGAACAUGUAAUAUGUAAAUGAAACAGUUGGAAAUGACUGGAAAUAACUUAGCACGUUUGUUGCAUACAUAAAAUGUCUCAAGUAUGUGCCUAUUAUAUUACUUUUUAAUAGUUAAUAGCAUUGUUAAAUAUCAUUGAAGUCGUGACAAUAU
RNA transcript from Apis mellifera (honey bee), 4410 nucleotides. It is a transcript of the gene named serine/threonine-protein kinase 11-interacting protein, with no coding region annotated. Lineage: Eukaryota; Metazoa; Arthropoda; Insecta; Hymenoptera; Apidae. The transcript has 21 exons. The record is from RefSeq and is a predicted model, not a curated record.